ACGAACGCUGGCGGCAUGCCUAACACAUGCCAGUCGAACGAGGCCUUCGGGUCUAGUGGCGCACGGGUGCGUAACGCGUGGGAAUCUGCCCUUGGGUUCGGAAUAACUCGCCGAAAGGCGUGCUAAUACCGGAUGAUGACGUAAGUCCAAAGAUUUAUCGCCCAAGGAUGAGCCCGCGUUGGAUUAGCUAGUUGGUGAGGUAAAGGCUCACCAAGGCGACGAUCCAUAGCUGGUCUGAGAGGAUGAUCAGCCACACUGGGACUGAGACACGGCCCAGACUCCUACGGGAGGCAGCAGUGAGGAAUAUUGGACAAUGGGCGAAAGCCUGAUCCAGCAAUGCCGCGUGAGUGAUGAAGGCCUUAGGGUUGUAAAGCUCUUUUACCCGGGAUGAUAAUGACCGUACCGGGAGAAUAAGCUCCGGCUAACUCCGUG
This 432-nucleotide ribosomal RNA is filed under the name uncultured bacterium. RNAcentral's name for it is "partial 16S ribosomal RNA". It matches the Rfam family "Bacterial small subunit ribosomal RNA", at positions 29 to 507 of the family's 1533-position model. The record is from RNAcentral.